This 210-nucleotide long non-coding RNA is filed under the name Ananas comosus (pineapple). RNAcentral describes it as "long non-coding RNA (ACOM_LNC035010)". The record is from RNAcentral. Lineage: Eukaryota; Viridiplantae; Streptophyta; Magnoliopsida; Poales; Bromeliaceae.
GUAGAUCCAUAUCGCCUUUUUGGCGUCGGAUUGUGCCGAGGGCACGUGACUGUAGGUUGUUAAACCAGUUAGUGUCGGUUACUUGGACUUUGGCUUGAGAGAGCCUGAUUGAGCUCGACAGAGAUACGCUGCAUAUUCGGUUGGGUAGCUCCCACGAGUGCCACUCCGGCGAUGGGCGCUGUGCGUUCGCGUUGAUGUCGUGCAUGCUGG